UACGGGGGGAGCAAGCGUUGUUCGGAUUUACUGGGCGUAAAGGGCGCGUAGGCGGUCAGCACAAGUCAGUUGUGAAAUCUCCGGGCUUAACUCGGAAAGGUCAACUGAUACUGUGCGACUAGAGUGCAGAAGGGGCAACUGGAAUUCUCGGUGUAGCGGUGAAAUGCGUAGAUAUCGAGAGGAACACCUGCGGCGAAGGCGGGUUGCUGGGCUGACACUGACGCUGAUGCGCGAAAGCGUGGGGAGCAAACGGG
This 254-nucleotide ribosomal RNA is filed under the name uncultured bacterium. Its description in RNAcentral is "partial 16S ribosomal RNA". It matches the Rfam family "Bacterial small subunit ribosomal RNA", at positions 524 to 776 of the family's 1533-position model. The record is from RNAcentral.